RNAcentral lists this ribosomal RNA (402 nucleotides) under bacterium. RNAcentral describes it as "partial 16S ribosomal RNA". It matches the Rfam family "Bacterial small subunit ribosomal RNA", at positions 355 to 776 of the family's 1533-position model. The record is from RNAcentral.
UGGGGAAUUUUGCACAAUGGGGGAAACCCUGAUGCAGCGACGCCGCGUGAUUUAGAAGGCCUUCGGGUUGUAAAAAUCUUUUCUAUGGGAAGAAAAUGACAGUACCAUAGGAAUAAGGACCGGCUAAUUACGUGCCAGCAGCCGCGGUAAUACGUAAGGUCCGAGCGUUGUCCGGAAUCAUUGGGCGUAAAGGGUACGUAGGCGGGUAAGCAAGUUAGAAGUGAAAUCCUAUAGCUCAACUAUAGUAAGCUUUUAAAACUGCUCAUCUUGAGGUAUGGAAGGGAAAGUGAAAUUCCAUGUGUAGCGGUGAAAUGCGCAGAGAUUAGGAGGAAUACCGGUGGCGAAGGCGACUUUCUGGCCAUAACCUUACGCUGAGGUACGAAAGCGUGGGUAGCAAACAGG